This 1672-nucleotide long non-coding RNA is filed under the name Coffea arabica (coffee). RNAcentral describes it as "long non-coding RNA (CARA_LNC007966)". The record is from RNAcentral. Lineage: Eukaryota; Viridiplantae; Streptophyta; Magnoliopsida; Gentianales; Rubiaceae.
AGACACAGUUGUCUCCAUAAUCUGCUAUUAUUGCCGAGGUAAAGCUUACGGAGUCCCAAGAAGAAAUGAGGAGAUGGUUGGAAUGCGGGGCGAAUCGGAUCCUGGAGAUGGCGUCGCGGAUCGGGUUGCUACCGAAGCUUAAACAGGUUUGUUUCAUGUUCAUUGGGGGCGACUCUCAAAGUCGUUCAACCGCUGCAAUUGCAAAUGCAGUACUAGCGGUAACAGGAAUCUUUUGCUGCUUGAGGUUCUCAGAACGACGUCGUUGCCGGAGGAUUUGGGCUCCAAAAUUUGAAAUGCCGUGGCGCGAUUCGAAUACGUGUUAUCUUCACUCUUCAGGAUGGAUGCCAGCGUCCACCAUUACGACGCCGUAUUGAGCUCGGGAAGGCUUUACAAUGACGGGUUAGUUAAACAAAGUACCCUUCCUAAAGACUAUGAUAUAGGAAAUGGGGAUUUCACACUAUGAAUUGUCGAAAAUAUUGGUAAUACUACUGUAAAGAAGUUUUACACUUAAACUUCACAUUGUUUUUAAUCUUUCGCCUCUCCAUUUCCUUCCAUAACUCUUUUUCCUUUUCUCUUCUGACUUGAUAUCUUCCUAAAAUUCCAUUUUUCUACUUCAUUUUCUCAUCUAUGAGACCAACCUUUGAAGGAUUGAAUCCGAGAUGAUUGAAUAAAGAUUUCUUCCCCGUUGGGGGAGGGGAAGGUAGGUAAACUUUUAAGGCUCAUGUCAUUCUUCAUGCUACCAACCGAGCUCCAAAUGUUCCAUUUCUUGGCUAAACUCCUAUGCAACAUACUAAACACAUGAAAAUUUUCUGAUAAGAGCUUGAUCUUCUCUCUGUUUCCCUAAACUCCAAACUCGGCCCAGCAUGGGACUGUUGAGCGUUCAUAGCUUUUUCAGGUCACCAAACAACUGGCAGAAGUACUGCCCCCAUGAGUAUUCAACUACCUCUGCAAAAUGGCCGUAAAGAAGGAAAUGUGAGGUCAGAUGAGCAGGAUACAGCACAAUGGGGAAAUAUUGGAAUUUUCCAAGGCCUAAUGUUUUUGCUCCUACAAACCAAGACACGUGCACUCCAAACACACCAGCCAUGAUGUGCACGAAACAUGGAUGCACGACCAUUACUGCAAAGAAACGUCAACUUUCACAUUUACCCAUAUUUCCAACGACCUAAGCAAGAAAUUGUAAAUAUAUACAAGAGUAGCAAGACUACAAGUUUGUAACAAUUCUAGGAGAUAGCAAAGACCAAAACCAAGUUAGAAAUGAUAUCACUACUGGCAAACAACAUAAUUGCAUUUCUUCUAAUUCUUCUCUCCCUUCCUCCUUGCUUGGCAAAAGCUUCAUCUCACAAGCUGAAGUCGUUGAAUUUUUUAUUUGGGACGUAGAAGUCGAACUUGACAUCGACAGAACCAGAAUUUUCUCCAUUGUCUUUAUACUCGAUGUUAGUAAUUGUUCCCGUAGGAUCUUCCUCUUGAUAUUCUGGUCUGACACGUCUAACAGGAACUGUAACCGAGUAGACAGUCCCCAGGUCUGGAUCUGUUGAUACACUCAGCUGGACUUUAUCUUGUGAUUCUAUCUCCACAAAAUCAGAUAAGGCAGUCACUAUGUUGCUUACAAUUUUCUGUUUUGCCUCAUCACUCACAGCACAUCGAUCAGAGAAGAGAAUCAUCUUCAAGCGGU